UACGGAGGAUCCAAGCGUUAUCCGGAUUUAUUGGGUUUAAAGGGUGCGUAGGCGGCGUUGUAAGUCAGUGGUGAAAGUUUGCAGCUUAACUGUAAAAUUGCCAUUGAUACUGCAGUGCUUGAGUACAGAUGAGGUGGGCGGAAUGUGUCAUGUAGCGGUGAAAUGCAUAGAUAUGACACAGAACACCGAUUGCGAAGGCAGCUCACUAAACUGUAACUGACGCUGAGGCACGAAAGCGUGGGGAUCAAAC
RNAcentral lists this ribosomal RNA (250 nucleotides) under uncultured bacterium. RNAcentral describes it as "partial 16S ribosomal RNA". It matches the Rfam family "Bacterial small subunit ribosomal RNA", at positions 524 to 773 of the family's 1533-position model. The record is from RNAcentral.